This 1450-nucleotide ribosomal RNA is filed under the name metagenome. RNAcentral describes it as "bacterial LSU rRNA". It matches the Rfam family "Bacterial large subunit ribosomal RNA", at positions 1452 to 2925 of the family's 2925-position model. The record is from RNAcentral.
AAAACAGAACUGUGGGGACGCAUGUGGAAAGCAUAAGCCGGGAAUGGAAAGACCGGUACAAGCGGGGUAGGUGUGUGACAGGCAAAUCCGUCACAUAAGCCGAAGACGUGAUGUGGAGCGAAAUUAAGUAGUGAAGUAUGUGAGCCAUGUGCCGAGAAAAGCCGCUAUUGUUUUAUAUGUGCCCGUACCGUAAACCGACACAGGUGGAUGAGGAGAGAAUCCUAAGGCCGACGGAAGAAGCAUUGUUAAGGAAUUCGGCAAAAUGACCCCGUAACUUCGGGAGAAGGGGUGCCCACUGAAUGGUGGGCCGCAGAGAAUAGGCUCAAGCAACUGUUUAGCAAAAACACAGGUCUAUGCGAAACCGAAAGGUGAAGUAUAUGGGCUGACACCUGCCCGGUGCUGGAAGGUUAAGAGGAGAGGUUAGCGCAAGCGAAGCUUUGAAUUUAAGCCCCAGUAAACGGCGGCCGUAACAAUAACGGUCCUAAGGUAGCGAAAUUCCUUGUCGGGUAAGUUCCGACCCGCACGAAAGGCGUAAUGAUUUGAGCACUGUCUCGACAAUGCAUCCGGUGAAAUUGAAGUACCAGUGAAGAUGCUGGUUACCCGCGCCAGGACGGAAAGACCCCAUGGAGCUUUACUCCAGUUUGAUACUGGGAUUCGGUACUGCACGUACAGGAUAGGUGGGAGACUGAGAACUAUGGACGCCAGUCUGUAGGGAGUCGCUGUUGGGAUACCACCCCUGUAGUACUGGGUUUCUAACCAUCUGCCGUGAUCCGGCAGUGGGACAAUGUCAGGCGGGGAGUUUGACUGGGGCGGUCGCCUCCGAAAGGGUAUCGGAGGCGCUCAAAGGUUCCCUCAGAAUGGUCGGAAACCAUUUGAAGAGUGCAAAGGCAGAAGGGAGCUUGACUGCGACACCGACGGGUGGAGCAGGUACGAAAGUAGGACUUAGUGAUCCGGUGGUAUAAAGUGGGAUUGCCAUCGCUCAACGGAUAAAAGCUACCCUGGAUAACAGGCUUAUCACUCCCAAGAGUUCACAUCGACGGAGUGGUUUGGCACCUCGAUGUCGGCUCAUCGCAUCCUGGGGCUGUAGCAGGUCCCAAGGGUUGGGCUGUUCGCCCAUUAAAGCGGUACGCGAGCUGGGUUCAGAACGUCGUGGGACAGUUCGGUCCCUAUCCGGCGCGGGCGGAGGAUAUUUGAGAGGAGCUGUCCUUAGUACGAGAGGACCGGGAUGGACGGACCACUGGUGUAUCUGUUGUCGACCAACGGCAUGGCAGAGUAGCCAAGUCUGGAAGGGAUAAACGCUGAAGGCAUCUAAGCGUGAAGCCCCCCUCAAGAUGAGAUAUCCCUCCUUCGGGAGUAAGACCCCUUGAAGACUACAAGGUAGAUAGGGCAGAGGUGGAAGUGUGGCAACACAUGGAGCUGACUGUUACUAAUAGGUCGAGGGCUUGAUGAC